CAUGAGCCAUCUUGCAUAAAGUAUAUCUCAGUUAUGUCAUAGCAUAAGCAUAUUUUCAUAAAGAAUAUGGAAUGACACGUCACAGGAGGUGCCUGAGCACAUUGCAUCAGAGUGCCUAGCCAAGGUCCAGCCACCCAGGGUCAGGAAAUGCCAGAACCCAGCCCCAGUAGGGGAGCUAGGUUUGAGUCAGUGCUCCGCUAUUCCCCACGGUGAAUUGUGCUGCUGCCUAUCUGCCUGAAUCUUGGCAUUCCCUAACCAGCAUGCCACCCCGCUGCAUCUGCCUCUUCAACUUCAGCAUGUGCCAUGCCAGACAUCCACCUACGAGCCUUGGUCAGCUUGGACACUUCUGGCAAUUUUAUGGACCAGAACUUUAAGGAGCCUCGAAUUCGCAUCCUCUGCAAGGUCUUCCCUGAGCUUGUUGAGGUUAUAGAUGGGUCAUUCCUAUCUUCAGGCCCCGUCAUGCAUCAAACAACCCACCUGGAGGGCGUCAGCAUUGGCAGUCACUGAGAGAUCUUGCAGUUCAGGGUCAUCUGUGCUUUGCAUUCACCGGUCGUCCUUGGUGUCCCCUGGCUCAUUGCCCAUCAGCCCCAAAUUAGCUGGGGCUUGCGAUCUAUACUUUUCUAUUCCCUGCAGAGCCGAUGAGCAUGCUUUCCCAACUCUAGUGAAUGGCUGGUCGCAUUCUGUGGCAUGCUCCAGCCCCCGAAGCACCCAGAACUGCCAACCAAAGUUUCAUUGGCAGUGCCCGGAAUUCCUGCCGAGUACGUAGAAUAUGCCACGGUAUUUGACAAACAGAAGGCAGACACUCUAUUUCCACAGCACAGUGAUGAUUGCACAAUUGACCUUCAACCAGGAACAGGAGUUCCUUUUGGGUGCAUUUACACCUUAUCUGUACCCAAACUGCAGGCCCUCCAGGAGUACCUUGAGGAAAAUUUGCAGAAGAGGUUCAUGGUCCCUUGACUUCCCGAGUGGCAGCACAUGUCUUCUUCGUGGCCAAGAAGGAUGGCUCCCUCCCUUAUAUUGAUUAUUGAACCUUUAACGAGAUCACAGUCUGCGACUGAUGCCCCUUUUCAUGAAAGACUCCGGGUCAGGUCUUCACAAAGCUAGACUGGCGUGGAGCAUACAACCUGUCAGAAUCCAGCAAGGGAAUGUGUGAUGCUGACGGACCAGGGGCCAAGGCCCUUAGAUCUCAACUGACCACUGGCAAAUAUGUAGCUGGAACCAGCCUGGCUCACCCAUGUGCUAAUAUUGUUAAAACAGAGGAGAAGCAUUACCAAGUGUGAAAUACUAGCUUGCCACAGGAGGUGUUCUCUUUUGCCCAACAAAAGAAGUCCCAUCAACACCAGAUGAACUGUUGUGGAACAUCCGAGGACAAAAGACUUUGUUGAUUGCCCCCCCUUACCCCUCCCACUUGAAGAAGAGACAGGCAGCUGAAUUUGCAACUCGGCAGAAAGAGGAAAGGAAUAAAAAGCCCUAACAAGGAGGAACUGUAUCCUCUGCUUGGAGUCUGAGGAGCGGGACUUACUAAGCAUAAGCAAAAGAUCCCCAGUGGUUGGCCUGGAUUAGCCCUAAGGGCACAGAGCUUGCUUAUUAUAGAAGCUUCAGUUACCUUUUGAAACUUAAAAGGGGAACACGUUUGUGUGUACAUUUACCUGCUUUAACCUUCUAAAUAACUCUAUUUCCUUUGCCUAGUUAAUAAAUCUUUAGAUACUUUAUUUUA
Molecule: long non-coding RNA, 1717 nt
Organism: Terrapene triunguis (Three-toed box turtle)
Lineage: Eukaryota; Metazoa; Chordata; Testudines; Emydidae
Exons: 2
Source: RefSeq, a predicted model, not a curated record